UGGGAUAUGGUGUAAUUGGCAACACAACAGAUUCUGGUCCUGUUAUUCUAGGUUCGAGCCCUGGUAUCCCAACCA
Molecule: transfer RNA, 75 nt
Filed under: Bacteroides sp. 43_108
Lineage: Bacteria; Pseudomonadati; Bacteroidota; Bacteroidia; Bacteroidales; Bacteroidaceae
Also listed under: 1 other name
Description: tRNA-Gln
Rfam family: tRNA
About the family: Transfer RNA (tRNA) molecules are approximately 80 nucleotides in length. Their secondary structure includes four short double-helical elements and three loops (D, anti-codon, and T loops). Further hydrogen bonds mediate the characteristic L-shaped molecular structure. tRNAs have two regions of fundamental functional importance: the anti-codon, which is responsible for specific mRNA codon recognition, and the 3' end, to which the tRNAs corresponding amino acid is attached (by aminoacyl-tRNA synthetases). tRNAs cope with the degeneracy of the genetic code in two manners: having more than one tRNA (with a specific anti-codon) for a particular amino acid; and 'wobble' base-pairing, i.e. permitting non-standard base-pairing at the 3rd anti-codon position.
Source: RNAcentral